This 94-nucleotide transfer RNA is filed under the name Candidatus Bathyarchaeota archaeon. RNAcentral describes it as "tRNA-Glu". It matches the Rfam family "tRNA". From Rfam's summary of the family: Transfer RNA (tRNA) molecules are approximately 80 nucleotides in length. The record is from RNAcentral. Lineage: Archaea; Thermoproteati; Candidatus Bathyarchaeota.
GCUCCGGUAGUAUAGUCAGGUUAAACAUGAAAUGAACCAUGUAUGACGGCCUCUCGAGCCGCCGACCCGGGUUCAAAUCCCGGCCGGAGCACCA